Molecule: ribosomal RNA, 1486 nt
Filed under: Mycobacterium tuberculosis
Lineage: Bacteria; Bacillati; Actinomycetota; Actinomycetes; Mycobacteriales; Mycobacteriaceae
Description: bacterial LSU rRNA
Rfam family: Bacterial large subunit ribosomal RNA
Source: RNAcentral
AGCGAAGGGGUGACGCAGGAAGGUAGCCGUACCAGUCAGUGGUAACACUGGGGCAAGCCGGUAGGGAGAGCGAUAGGCAAAUCCGUCGCUCACUAAUCCUGAGAGGUGACGCAUAGCCGGUUGAGGCGAAUUCGGUGAUCCUCUGCUGCCAAGAAAAGCCUCUAGCGAGCACACACACGGCCCGUACCCCAAACCGACACAGGUGGUCAGGUAGAGCAUACCAAGGCGUACGAGAUAACUAUGGUUAAGGAACUCGGCAAAAUGCCCCCGUAACUUCGGGAGAAGGGGGACCGGAAUAUCGUGAACACCCUUGCGGUGGGAGCGGGAUCCGGUCGCAGAAACCAGUGAGGAGCGACUGUUUACUAAAAACACAGGUCCGUGCGAAGUCGCAAGACGAUGUAUACGGACUGACGCCUGCCCGGUGCUGGAAGGUUAAGAGGACCCGUUAACCCGCAAGGGUGAAGCGGAGAAUUUAAGCCCCAGUAAACGGCGGUGGUAACUAUAACCAUCCUAAGGUAGCGAAAUUCCUUGUCGGGUAAGUUCCGACCUGCACGAAUGGCGUAACGACUUCUCAACUGUCUCAACCAUAGACUCGGCGAAAUUGCACUACGAGUAAAGAUGCUCGUUACGCGCGGCAGGACGAAAAGACCCCGGGACCUUCACUACAACUUGGUAUUGAUGUUCGGUACGGUUUGUGUAGGAUAGGUGGGAGACUGUGAAACCUCGACGCCAGUUGGGGCGGAGUCGUUGUUGAAAUACCACUCUGAUCGUAUUGGGCAUCUAACCUCGAACCCUGAAUCGGGUUUAGGGACAGUGCCUGGCGGGUAGUUUAACUGGGGCGGUUGCCUCCUAAAAUGUAACGGAGGCGCCCAAAGGUUCCCUCAACCUGGACGGCAAUCAGGUGGCGAGUGUAAAUGCACAAGGGAGCUUGACUGCGAGACUUACAAGUCAAGCAGGGACGAAAGUCGGGAUUAGUGAUCCGGCACCCCCGAGUGGAAGGGGUGUCGCUCAACGGAUAAAAGGUACCCCGGGGAUAACAGGCUGAUCUUCCCCAAGAGUCCAUAUCGACGGGAUGGUUUGGCACCUCGAUGUCGGCUCGUCGCAUCCUGGGGCUGGAGCAGGUCCCAAGGGUUGGGCUGUUCGCCCAUUAAAGCGGCACGCGAGCUGGGUUUAGAACGUCGUGAGACAGUUCGGUCUCUAUCCGCCGCGCGCGUCAGAAACUUGAGGAAACCUGUCCCUAGUACGAGAGGACCGGGACGGACGAACCUCUGGUGCACCAGUUGUCCCGCCAGGGGCACCGCUGGAUAGCCACGUUCGGUCAGGAUAACCGCUGAAAGCAUCUAAGCGGGAAACCUUCUCCAAGAUCAGGUUUCUCACCCACUUGGUGGGAUAAGGCCCCCCGCAGAACACGGGUUCAAUAGGUCAGACCUGGAAGCUCAGUAAUGGGUGUAGGGAACUGGUGCUAACCGGCCGAAAACUUACAACA